UCCGGUUUGUCACCGGCAGUCUCGCAUGAGUCCCCAACUAAAUGCUGGCAACUAGUGACAAGGGUUGCGCUCGUUGCGGGACUUAACCCAACAUCUCACGACACGAGCUGACGACAGCCAUGCAGCACCUGUGUUCAGGCUCCCUUUCGGGCACACCCGCCUCUCGGCGGGCUUCCUGACAUGUCAAGGGUAGGUAAGGUUCUUCGCGUUGCAUCGAAUUAAUCCACAUCAUCCACCGCUUGUGCGGGUCCCCGUCAAUUCCUUUGAGUUUUAACCUUGCGGCCGUACUCCCCAGGCGGUCAACUUCACGCGUUAGCUUCGUUACUAAUGGGUUUAACCCCACCAACAACCAGUUGACAUCGUUUAGGGCGUGGACUAC
Molecule: unclassified non-coding RNA, 379 nt
Filed under: uncultured Gammaproteobacteria bacterium
Lineage: Bacteria; Pseudomonadati; Pseudomonadota; Gammaproteobacteria
Description: contains 16S-23S intergenic spacer region
Source: RNAcentral